GAGGGUAUAUCCAGUGGUAGAGCACAUGCUUGGCAUGCACAAGGUCCUGGGCUCAAUUCCCAGUACCCCCA
RNAcentral lists this transfer RNA (71 nucleotides) under Camelus bactrianus (Bactrian camel). It matches the Rfam family "tRNA". From Rfam's summary of the family: Transfer RNA (tRNA) molecules are approximately 80 nucleotides in length. Their secondary structure includes four short double-helical elements and three loops (D, anti-codon, and T loops). The record is from Rfam by way of RNAcentral. RNAcentral also lists the same sequence under 2 other names. Lineage: Eukaryota; Metazoa; Chordata; Mammalia; Artiodactyla; Camelidae.